GAUAAACGCUGGCGGCGUGCCUAAUACAUGCAAGUCGAGCGAACGGACGAGAAGCUUGCUUCUCUGAUGUUAGCGGCGGACGGGUGAGUAACACGUGGAUAACCUACCUAUAAGACUGGGAUAACUUCGGGAAACCGGAGCUAAUACCGGAUAAUAUUUUGAACCGCAUGGUUCAAAAGUGAAAGACGGUCUUGCUGUCACUUAUAGAUGGAUCCGCGCUGCAUUAGCUAGUUGGUAAGGUAACGGCUUACCAAGGCAACGAUGCAUAGCCGACCUGAGAGGGUGAUCGGCCACACUGGAACUGAGACACGGUCCAGACUCCUACGGGAGGCAGCAGUAGGGAAUCUUCCGCAAUGGGCGAAAGCCUGACGGAGCAACGCCGCGUGAGUGAUGAAGGUCUUCGGAUCGUAAAACUCUGUUAUUAGGGAAGAACAUAUGUGUAAGUAACUGUGCACAUCUUGACGGUACCUAAUCAGAAAGCCACGGCUAACUACGUGCCAGCAGCCGCGGUAAUACGUAGGUGGCAAGCGUUAUCCGGAAUUAUUGGGCGUAAAGCGCGCGUAGGCGGUUUUUUAAGUCUGAUGUGAAAGCCCACGGCUCAACCGUGGAGGGUCAUUGGAAACUGGAAAACUUGAGUGCAGAAGAGGAAAGUGGAAUUCCAUGUGUAGCGGUGAAAUGCGCAGAGAUAUGGAGGAACACCAGUGGCGAAGGCGACUUUCUGGUCUGUAACUGACGCUGAUGUGCGAAAGCGUGGGGAUCAAACAGGAUUAGAUACCCUGGUAGUCCACGCCGUAAACGAUGAGUGCUAAGUGUUAGGGGGUUUCCGCCCCUUAGUGCUGCAGCUAACGCAUUAAGCACUCCGCCUGGGGAGUACGACCGCAAGGUUGAAACUCAAAGGAAUUGACGGGGACCCGCACAAGCGGUGGAGCAUGUGGUUUAAUUCGAAGCAACGCGAAGAACCUUACCAAAUCUUGACAUCCUUUGACAACUCUAGAGAUAGAGCCUUCCCCUUCGGGGGACAAAGUGACAGGUGGUGCGUGGUUGUCGUCAGCUCGUGUCGUGAGAUGUUGGGUUAAGUCCCGCAACGAGCGCAACCCUUAAGCUUAGUUGCCAUCAUUAAGUUGGGCACUCUAAGUUGACUGCCGGUGACAAACCGGAGGAAGGUGGGGAUGACGUCAAAUCAUCAUGCCCCUUAUGAUUUGGGCUACACACGUGCAACAAUGGACAAUACAAAGGGCAGCGAAACCGCGAGGUCAAGCAAAUCCCAUAAAGUUGUUCUCAGUUCGGAUUGUAGUCUGCAACUCGACUACAUGAAGCUGGAAUCGCUAGUAAUCGUAGAUCAGCAUGCUACGGUGAAUACGUUCCCGGGUCU
RNAcentral lists this ribosomal RNA (1372 nucleotides) under uncultured bacterium. Its description in RNAcentral is "bacterial SSU rRNA". It matches the Rfam family "Bacterial small subunit ribosomal RNA", at positions 28 to 1381 of the family's 1533-position model. The record is from RNAcentral.